Molecule: long non-coding RNA, 1954 nt
Filed under: Homo sapiens (human)
Lineage: Eukaryota; Metazoa; Chordata; Mammalia; Primates; Hominidae
Description: non-protein coding lnc-TDP1-2:1
Source: RNAcentral
AGAAGUAGUUCAGUGCAGUCAGCGUUUCAAUUUUUCAUUCUGAAAUCUUGUCUAACUCCUUACUUCCUCCUUUCCCUGGUGGACUCAAGCAGUGGAGGUCCCAGUGUGCCUUACACCUGAGGAGGUGUGGUGUGUACAUCAAAAUCAAGCCUGCUUCCUUUUGGUAAAUAGUUACACCACACCAGGCGAGGGCCUGCCUACUCCAGUGUGGCCGAUGUAUUUUUCCAAACCCAUAAUCAACCCAGAGAUCAUUGGCCCAACCACAUCUGCUGCCCUUGAUAUUACAUCUUGGAGUGGCAGUUGAGGGCCUGGCCAAGUAGAGAACUUGUCUUUGGCUUUCUUUGUCUACACAAUUGUUUUAUUUAUUUAUUUGCCCCAUCCCCCUACUUUUUUUGCAAUGGGGUCUCUAUGUUGCCCAGAAGCAUCUGGAACACCUGGGCUCAAGCGAUCCUCCCAUCUCAGCCUCCCAAGUAGCUGGGACUACAGGCCCGAGUUACCACAUGCAGCCCCACGAUUGUUCCUUUUUACAUAUUAAAUAACCUAUGCUUAAUUUAGAAAAUGCAAAAAAUGAAAAGAUGGGGAAAAAAACCAAACACGUAACUCCUGCACCUUGGUGUGUACCCAUCCAGAACACUACACAUGCACACAAUUUUUGUUUUCUCGGAAAUAAAAUCAUAUGAGCUAGACCAGUGGUUCUCAAUCAGGGUGAUUUUUCCCCCACAGAAGACAUUCAGCAAUGUCUGCAGACAUUUUAGGUUGUCAAAACUGGGGCAGGUGGUGAUACUGGCAUCUAGUGGUUGAGGCCAGAGAUACUGCUAAACAUCCUAAAACGCACAGGCCAGCCCUCAACAACAACAAAUUACCUAGCCCCAAAUGUCAAAAGGCCCAAGGUUAGGAAACUCUGGUCUAGACCACGGUUAAGCAAACUACUGCCCUCCUGGUUGGCUACCUGUUUUUAUAAAUAAAGUUUUAUUAGAACACGGAGAUGUCCAUUCAUUUCUAUGUCAUCUAUGGCUGCUUUGACUUACAACGCAAGUGAGCAGUUGUAACAGAAACUGUGUGGUCACAAGUCCUAAAAUAAAUAUGAGCCACAUAUGAAAUUUCAAGUUUUUCUAGUAGCCACAUUUUUUUAAAGUACAAAAAAAGCAGGGGAAAUUAAUGUUAGUAAUAUGCCCCAAAUAUUAUCAUUUCAACCUUGAAUCAACAUAAAAAUUAAUGAAAUAUUGUUAUAUUCUUUUAUUUCCAUAUUAAGUCUUCACUUACAGCACUUCUCAAUUCAGACUAGUCACAUUUUUUUUUUUUUUUUUGAGACGGAGUUUUGCUCUCAUUGCCCAGGCUAGAGUGCAGUGGCACAAUCUCAGCUUACCACAACCUCCUCCUCUCAGGUUCAAGCGAUUCUCCUGCCUCAGCCUCCCGAGUAGCUGGGAUUACAGGCACGUGCCACCACGCCCGGCUAAUUUUGUAUUUUUAGUAGAGACUGGGUUUCUCCAUGUUGGUCAGGCUGGUCUCGAAUUCCGACCUUAGGUGGUCCACCCACCUCAGCCUCCCAAAGUGCUGGGAUUAUAGGCAUGAGCCACUGUGCCUGGCCCAGACUAGUCACAUUUUAAGUGCUCACGUUGCUGGUGGCUAUUGUAUUACACAAUGCAGGUCUACACUGCAUUUUUCACUAAACUGCUUUUUUAAAUUAUUUUACUUUUAAUUUUAUUUUAUAUAUAUUUUUGAGACGAAGUUUCACUCUUGUCACCCAGGCUGGAGGGCAGUGGCGCGAUCUCGGCUCACCACAAUCUCUGCCUCCUGGGUUCAAAUGAUUCUCCUGCCUCAGCCGCCCUAGCAGCUGGAACUACAGGUGCAUACCACCACACCCGGCUAAUUUUUUUUUUAUUUUUAGUAAAGACAGGGUUUCACUACGUUGGCCAGGCUGGUCUCGAACUCCUGACCUCAAGUGGUCCCCCUG